Molecule: non-coding RNA, 73 nt
Organism: Bos taurus (domestic cattle)
Lineage: Eukaryota; Metazoa; Chordata; Mammalia; Artiodactyla; Bovidae
Source: Rfam
UCCCUGGUGGUCCAGUGGUUAUGACUCUGUGCUUCCAAUGCAGGGGGCAUGGGUUCAAUCCCUGGUCAGGAAA